UACGUAGGGUGCGAGCGUUAAUCGGAAUUACUGGGCGUAAAGCGUGCGCAGGCGGUUUUGUAAGCCAGUUGUGAAAUCCCCGGGCUCAACCUGGGAACUGCAUCUGUGACUGCAUCGCUGGAGUGCGGCAGAGGGGGAUGGAAUUCCGCGUGUAGCAGUGAAAUGCGUAGAUAUGCGGAGGAACACCGAUGGCGAAGGCAAUCCCCUGGGCCUGCACUGACGCUCAUGCACGAAAGCGUGGGGAGCAAACAGG
This 253-nucleotide ribosomal RNA is filed under the name uncultured bacterium. RNAcentral describes it as "partial 16S ribosomal RNA". It matches the Rfam family "Bacterial small subunit ribosomal RNA", at positions 524 to 776 of the family's 1533-position model. The record is from RNAcentral.